Molecule: ribosomal RNA, 253 nt
Filed under: uncultured bacterium
Lineage: Bacteria
Description: partial 16S ribosomal RNA
Rfam family: Bacterial small subunit ribosomal RNA
Source: RNAcentral
UACAGAGGGUGCAAGCGUUGUUCGGAAUUAUUGGGCGUAAAGGGAGUGUAGGCGGCAUUGCCAGUCUUCUGUGAAAUCUACGGGCUUACCCCGUAACGUGCAGAGGAUACUGCAAAGCUAGAGUGUCGGAGAGGAUAGUGGAAUUCCCGGUGUAGAGGUGAAAUUCGUAGAGAUCGGAAGGAACACCAGUGGCGAAGGCGACUGUCUGGCUGACAACUGACGCUGAGACUCGAAAGCAUGGGGAGCAAACAGG